Molecule: ribosomal RNA, 212 nt
Filed under: uncultured bacterium
Lineage: Bacteria
Description: partial 16S ribosomal RNA
Rfam family: Bacterial small subunit ribosomal RNA
Source: RNAcentral
UCGGACUGUAGUCUGCAACCCGACUACACGAAGCUGGAAUCGCUAGUAAUCGCGGAUCAGCAUGCCGCGGUGAAUACGUUCCCGGGUCUUGUACACACCGCCCGUCACACCAUGGGGAGCCGGAAAUGCCCGAAGCCUGUGACCCAACCCAAUAGGGAGGGGAGCAGUCGAAGGUGGAGCCGGUAACUGGGGUGAAGUCGUAACAAGGUAAC